This 74-nucleotide transfer RNA is filed under the name Zoogloea resiniphila. RNAcentral describes it as "tRNA-Thr". It matches the Rfam family "tRNA". Rfam says of the family: Transfer RNA (tRNA) molecules are approximately 80 nucleotides in length. Their secondary structure includes four short double-helical elements and three loops (D, anti-codon, and T loops). The record is from RNAcentral. RNAcentral also lists the same sequence under 4 other names. Lineage: Bacteria; Pseudomonadati; Pseudomonadota; Betaproteobacteria; Rhodocyclales; Zoogloeaceae.
GCCCCCUUAGUUAAGUGGUAUAACAGUUGACUUGUAAUCAUCAGUUGGCGGUUCGAUUCCGUCAGGGGGCACCA